CGCGACAGUGUGCUACUGCCUAGA
This 24-nucleotide non-coding RNA is filed under the name Arabidopsis thaliana (thale cress). The record is from RNAcentral. Lineage: Eukaryota; Viridiplantae; Streptophyta; Magnoliopsida; Brassicales; Brassicaceae.